RNAcentral lists this ribosomal RNA (483 nucleotides) under uncultured bacterium. RNAcentral describes it as "partial 16S ribosomal RNA". It matches the Rfam family "Bacterial small subunit ribosomal RNA", at positions 30 to 506 of the family's 1533-position model. The record is from RNAcentral.
AUUGAACGCUGGCGGCAGGCCUAACACAUGCAAGUCGAGCGGAUGAAGGGAGCUUGCUCCUGGAUUCAGCGGCGGACGGGUGAGUAAUGCCUAGGAAUCUGCCUGGUAGUGGGGGAUAACGUCCGGAAACGGGCGCUAAUACCGCAUACGUCCUGAGGGAGAAAGUGGGGGAUCUUCGGACCUCACGCUAUCAGAUGAGCCUAGGUCGGAUUAGCUAGUUGGUGGGGUAAAGGCCUACCAAGGCGACGAUCCGUAACUGGUCUGAGAGGAUGAUCAGUCACACUGGAACUGAGACACGGUACAGACUCCUACGGGAGGCAGCAGUGGGGAAUAUUGGAAAAUGGGCGAAAGCCUGAUCCAGCCAUGCCGCGUGUGUGAAGAAGGUCUUCGGAUUGUAAAGCACUUUAAGUUGGGAGGAAGGGCAGUAAGUUAAUACCUUGCUGUUUUGACGUUACCAACAGAAUAAGCACCGGCUAACUUCGU